UCAGUGAAAGGAAAAUUUGGCAGAAAAAGGAAAAGCAAAAUGAGGGCUUUAGGUAAAUAUAGCCAGGCAUUUGGGAUUGGGGCACGACGGCUGUUGCUCUGGCCGGCGUUGGGCGACCGGCGGCGUGACGGAGACCACCAAGCAGGUGGGGAUUAGGGCAUGUUGGUGACUUUUCCGGUUGGUCUUCUCGGAGAGUCGAGGAGGCAACUGGAUGGGUCGGCGGGGGGCAUCAACCAUGAGCGACGUGCCGGUCUUGCGAGGGCAGGAUAGCAAGAGAUGAAGACGAUUCACAGGUUGCAUCUGACAGGGGCAAACCUGAUACAUCAGAGUGAGCCGCAUGAGCAAAUGCUUCUCUUUCAAAAUGGUGGAGGAAAUGAUCAGUUCGAUAGACUUGCCGAGGGACUUGACGACCUCUUCUGCGCAAUCUCUGCUAUAGCUCUUGUUCUUCAUGGAGCACCUGACAUGGAAAUCAGUAACAAAAUCCCACCAGACCCAGGGCCUCCCGGUCUCAUUUCCAACUCUGUGAACGCAGAGCUGCCUCAAGUUCUCGAUCACCACAUCCUUGCCAUCGUACCCCUCGCUGAAGUCCUGCUCGGGAUCAGAACCAGGUGAUGUAGCGCGGCGUGAACUGAGUGAAGCCUCCCCUCUCAAGCAGCUGCGCGUGGCCCUUGAAGUUCUUGACGAAGCUCAUCUGGUCGUCGCACCGAGGGCCGCACUCGUCGUUGCUGUUGGUCCAGAACUCGUACUCCACCCGCUCGUCGGGGGUUGUCCAUGGUGAGGAGGGGCUCGUCGAUGUUGUCAGCGACCAGAACUGCAGCUGCGCCAGCUUGCUGUGCGUUCCAUGCCUUCAAAGCAAAGUAACAAUCUGGAGCAAGUAGAAGAACAAGCAGCAAGAAGCAAGAAUUGGUGGUGGCUCACCUCCUCGGUCAACUAGAAGGAUGGCAGGGCGCCUACUGGCCCCCGUCUUGAAGGGCUCGCCGUCGAAAGCGUUGCAGGCCGUGGAGUUCACCUGGUACUUCAC
Zingiber officinale is the source of this 1021-nucleotide long non-coding RNA. RefSeq lists it as uncharacterized. Lineage: Eukaryota; Viridiplantae; Streptophyta; Magnoliopsida; Zingiberales; Zingiberaceae. The transcript is spliced from 5 exons. The record is from RefSeq and is a predicted model, not a curated record.